RNAcentral lists this ribosomal RNA (467 nucleotides) under uncultured bacterium. Its description in RNAcentral is "partial 16S ribosomal RNA". It matches the Rfam family "Bacterial small subunit ribosomal RNA", at positions 28 to 507 of the family's 1533-position model. The record is from RNAcentral.
GACGAACGCUGGCGGCGUGCUUAACACAUGCCAGUCGAGCGGAAAGGCCUCUUUCGGGGGGUACUCGAGUGGCGAACGGGUGAGUAACACGUGAGUAACCUGCCCUUGACUUUGGGAUAACUUCAGGAAACUGGGGCUAAUACCGGAUAGGAGCUCCUGCUGCAUGGUGGGGGUUGGAAAGUUUCGGCGGUUGGGGAUGGACUCGCGGCUUAUCAGCUUGUUGGUGGGGUAGUGGCUUACCAAGGCUUUGACGGGUAGCCGGCCUGAGAGGGUGACCGGCCACAUUGGGACUGAGAUACGGCCCAGACUCCUACGGGAGGCAGCAGUGGGGAAUAUUGCACAAUGGGUGGAAGCCUGAUGCAGCAACGCCGUGUGCGGGAUGACGGCCUUCGGGUUGUAAACCGCUUUCGCUCAUGACGAAGCUUUGUGUGACGGUAGUGGGUAAAGAAGCACCGGCUAACUACGUG